Branchiostoma floridae (Florida lancelet) is the source of this 921-nucleotide long non-coding RNA. RefSeq lists it as uncharacterized. Lineage: Eukaryota; Metazoa; Chordata; Leptocardii; Amphioxiformes; Branchiostomatidae. The record is from RefSeq and is a predicted model, not a curated record. The transcript has 3 exons.
AUGGUAAACCUGUUCAUUUUUCUUUCCUUGAGGAUCGAUCGUUUACGUGAAGAAAUCAUCUAUCUACCGCAUUAGGGUCUUUCCGAGAAAUCAGAAGAGACAAUGGAGGCACAAAGCGUAUAAUUAUCUCCAUAGUUACUGCGCGCAGCCUUAGUGUGACAUCUGGGAUCGUUACACAUCUAAUUUCAGAUUUCAGUCAGAUUUCAACUCUCCGUGAUCCAAGUCAAGGUUCCUCUCCUUCCGUAGACAAUGAUGCAAAAGUAAAAAAUCUCUUCUUUGCUCAAAAAAGGGAUUUAAUCAAACUGCGUCAUGCUUGUGCCCACAGAUACAUAACACUGUCUAAACAAGCACUAUUCGCGCUAGAUAGCCUGAGGCUAAUUCAAAGGUGAGACAGGUGGUUUAUUUAAGAGUGUCGUCCGAAUCGAGUUAGUGUAAAGAAAAUGCCUCAAAAUUGCACCGUAUUCCUGAGACUGAACAAACUUUAUUUCAUAAACUUGUCUCUAUUAUCUACGACACACGGCUGACGGUCGGGAUGUUGUUCUCGUGACCAUACAGAAGGACAAUUAGAGCUCAACUCAUCUUAGCAACUACAACUACGACAACGAUACGACUGACAAGCGCCGUCGUUAUGGAUAGAACAUCUACAAACACGGAGGAAGAAAGAGAAAAACUGAUAACAUAUGAGAGGCCAAGCUAUGAAAGUGUGGUCAGGUUCAAUGCCAAUCUGGAUUCUGUGCACGCUCAGGUACCGGAAGUACAGGAGAGGCCUCUAGCGGACGCUCCAACGUCGCGGAAACCAGGUAGUCACCGUCGAAAACUGACACUAGUGGCUCUGGCGACCAUGAACUUAGCUGCGUGCAUGUGUUACGCCAUCCCCGCUCCCUUCUUUCCCGGAUAGGUAACCUCCUGUUAGAAACUGAA